UUGGUCUGUCUAGAGGAUUGA
This 21-nucleotide non-coding RNA is filed under the name Arabidopsis thaliana (thale cress). Lineage: Eukaryota; Viridiplantae; Streptophyta; Magnoliopsida; Brassicales; Brassicaceae. The record is from RNAcentral.